AGCAGCCGCGGUAAUUCCAGCUCCAAUAGCGUAUAUUAAAGUUGUUGCAGUUAAAAAGCUCGUAGUUGAAUUUCGGGAUCAGUACGCUGGUCGUGCCUUUGGUAUGUACUGGUGUCACUGAUUCCUCCCUUCUGAAGAACCGUUAUGCCAUUUAUUUGGUGUGGCGGGAAAUCAGGACUGUUACUUUGAAAAAUUAGAGUGUUUAAAGCAGGCUCGCGCUUGAAUACAUUAGCAUGGAAUAAUGAAAUAGGACGUUUGAUCUUAUUUUGUUGGUUUCUAGGAUCGACGUAAUGAUUAAUAGGGAUAGUUGGGGGCAUUAGUAUUCAAUUGUCAGAGGUGAAAUUCUUGGAUUUAUUGAAGGCUAACUACUGCGAAAGCAUUUGCCAAGGAUGUUUUCAUUAAUCAAGAACGAAAGUUAGGGGAUCGAAGACGAUCAGAUACCGUCGUAGUCUUAACCAUAAACUAUGCCGACUAGGGAUCGGAUGAUGUUAAUUUUUAAUGACUCAUUCGGACCG
This 515-nucleotide ribosomal RNA is filed under the name uncultured Glomus. RNAcentral describes it as "SSU rRNA". It matches the Rfam family "Eukaryotic small subunit ribosomal RNA", at positions 569 to 1087 of the family's 1831-position model. Lineage: Eukaryota; Fungi; Glomeromycota; Glomeromycetes; Glomerales; Glomeraceae. The record is from RNAcentral.